UGGGGAAUAUUGCACAAUGGGCGCAAGCCUGAUGCAGCCAUGCCGCGUGUGUGAAGAAGGCCUUCGGGUUGUAAAGCACUUUCAGUCGUGAGGAAGGGUUAGUAGUUAAUACCUGCUAGCUUUGACGUUAGCGACAGAAGAAGCACCGGCUAACUCCGUGCCAGCAGCCGCGGUAAUACGGAGGGUGCGAGCGUUAAUCGGAAUUACUGGGCGUAAAGCGUACGCAGGCGGCUAAGUAAGUCAGAUGUGAAAGCCCCGGGCUCAACCUGGGAACUGCAUUUGAAAGCUGCUUGGCUAGAGUGCGACAGAGGGUGGUAGAAUUUCCAGGUGUAGCGGUGAAAUGCGUAGAGAUCUGAAGGAAUACCAAUGGCGAAGGCAGCCACCUGGGUCGACACUGACGCUCAUGUACGAAAAGCGUGGGUAGCAAAACAGGAUUUAGAUACCCUGGUAGUCCACGCCGUAAACGAUGUCUACUAGCAGUUUAGCCUCUUAAGAGGUGUCUUGCGCAGCUAACGCAUUAAGUAGACCGCCUGGGAGUACGGCC
Molecule: ribosomal RNA, 544 nt
Filed under: uncultured bacterium
Lineage: Bacteria
Description: bacterial SSU rRNA
Rfam family: Bacterial small subunit ribosomal RNA
Source: RNAcentral